Gasterosteus aculeatus aculeatus (three-spined stickleback) is the source of this 1615-nucleotide long non-coding RNA. Lineage: Eukaryota; Metazoa; Chordata; Actinopteri; Perciformes; Gasterosteidae. The record is from Ensembl.
AAUAAAUCAGCCUACCUCUGCGUCGUGGACAAGUCCGGGGAAGGUCGUUGACAUUGUGCUUUCUCCAAAGUAGCCCCCUUUUUUUUUCCUCCGCUGUGUGGCCCGACCGAACAAUAAUAAUAAUAAUAAUAAAAAUGCCUUAAAAUCCUCAAAAAGCGAGAGAAGUGGAAAAGUCCCCCCUUUGCGCGCUCUCGGUAGCGGUGGAAAGCUGGCGGAACGCGAGCGUCUCCCCUCUGCACGGACGGGGCUGGCUCACGGAUUUUGUACUUGCAGGGUAUUUCUCGGCUGAUGUCGUAGGUCCCUUGGUAAUAUAGAAGUUUUGAAAAUUAAGCAUCAGCACUGAGGAAUGGGAGGACAAUAGACGGAGCGGAGCAUCCCAGGAGACAAGGAAUAAAUAUUGUAUCUUCGCCAUAACAAGGAACCAAGUGCUUCUUUCAACAUUUUCUACCCUUUUUGUGGACAUUUUCCCUUUUGAGCCGUUUGUAUUUUCACGAGUUCUUCUGCUCGGUUUCGUCGUGUUAUUUUAUUCUAUUUUAUUUAUUCACAACGGCUGUGUCGUUCUUACAAAAAAAAUAUGGAUUUUCAACGGAAAUUGAGCACAUCCAACCCUCGCUGAGUGGUUCAGGAGAAAAAGAGCAGCAACAAAGGAAACGAGAGGCCACCUGCACAGUCAUCCAUCUCUCAACUUUUAUGAACCCAUUCGGACCUGCAAGGUCUUGGCACCGCGCCACAUGACUUGUGUGCAGCCACUGACAUGACUGACCGCUGUUCAAAUCCACUGGGACCGAAACCACCCUUCAGUUUCAUCGUCCACGUGUCUUUGCUUCUUUAGCAAAACACCAAGCUCCCCCUCUGUUAUGUUAAAAACCUUAUUUUACUUUUGUUGUUUGCAGUCAUAAAAAAGAAGGGGUUUCCCCAAUUUUGCUGUACUUAUCCCGACCAGCAGAGUGCGCCACUUUGGCAGUGCAGCCUGAGGGGAGAUUAACCUGCAGGUCUCUGAGUAAAAGGGAGGACACACACACACACACACAAAUUCAAAAACUCUCUCGCUGUGAAAGAAGUAUACACAUGCAAGGGUGCCGACGCAGGUUCAAUGACUUUGAUCGUGUAAUUCCUGCGUAAUCUCUGUAAUCUUUUAAAGCAGAGCUGUUUAAAUGUAUGUUGCAUGUGCGCAAUUGUGAGUGUGUGUGUGUGUGUGUGUGAGUGAAGAUGUGUGAAAUGUUCACUGGAUUAACAAGAUGAAGCAGAGGCCGGGAAUACAGCUAAAGAGAAAUCUUUAAGAAUCAAACGUUCUUUCAGAUUUCUGCUCAGACCAGCAGGCUGGAGUUGGAGGCUGCGCGUGUUGUGUUUAUGACACAAAGAAAUUCUCAUAUUCAGCUUGUUUAAAGAGUUCAUUCGGUGUCUUAUCCGUGGAGUGGGUGUGAGUUUUAUUUGGCAGCUGAACAGAUAUUUUCUACACUCUGCAGUCUUCACAUCAGGCAGCACACUUUGACCGACCUGUCAUUGUAAUUAUAAGGUUCUAUUGGAUGUAAGUCAGUGAUGAUACUUCUCUUUGUUGCAUGACAACAAUUGAAAAUCACAUGGAUGCGAGCAAAAUAAAUCACGAUCAUGAGAA